AGUUCUUGCACAAGUGUUAAUCCAAAAGUCCUUUAGAGCCCUUAAGGACACCAUAACAAGAUCUCUCUUGGAUCUCUUCAGAUUCAUCUUCCCUCAGCCUUUCAUCUCUUUGGAAACACCUGUCCCUGCCAAAAACAUUUAGUGGAAGCAUCUUCUUUCAAAGAAAGCACACAGCUCCUAUAAUAGUCUUUUCUCCAAAUUAUACUGUCCUCUGGAGCGCGAUUCUUGGGGCUUCUGGGAGUUGGUUCAGCUGCUGAGUAACAAUCCCCUGGAAUGCAGGCAGCUGUUAAAAGUUCUUCUCCCAAAGUUGUCUCUUUGGUUUUCUCAGAGGCCUCUCUCCCCCCAGGGUUCCAAAAGCUCUCGUUGCUAGUCUUUUGCCUCUGCCAGCUUCAGCCUAUUGCUCUCUUUCCGAAUCCUGGCUUCUCAAUCUCCCAAAAUUGUCUAGUUGGCUUGCGGGGGGCUCCUCAUAUAUGAUCUCUUCAAGGUGUGAACUCAAAGGUUGACUCCUCCUCCGAGGGUGGGAUUGUGCCUUCCUGACCUGUGAAGCUCCCUGAUGUGUGAACUCUUAAAAGUGUGAACUCAAGGACAUAAGCAUUGUUUCUAUCAAUUUCAGUGAGUUAGCACAUUGUUUGAAGUUCUGGCUGAUGUGUCAACUCUUAAAGGUGUUUACUCAAGUACAAAAGCAUUGUUUCUAUGGAUUCCAGUGUUUCAAGUUCUGGCCCAUAAGAAAUCUGGUUACUGAUAUAGUCAAUGAUGCUAAUAGUUUUCCUAAUAUUGAAACAGCCCUGUAUCCCUGCUAUGCAUCCUACUUGCUCAUAGUGUAUUAUUCCGGGGAUGAUUUUCUCUUAUCUUUUUGCUAAUAUCUUAUUUAAGAUUUUAGCUUUAAUAGUCAUUAGGGAGAUUGGUCUAUCAUUUUCUUUCACUGUUUUCAACCUACCUGGUUUAUGUAUCAGUGCCAUGUCUGUGUCCUAAAAGGAAUUUGGUAGGACUCCUUCAAUCCCUAUUUUUUCAAAUAGUUCAUAGAGCAUUGGAGUUAAUUUUUCUUUAAAUGUUUGAUAUAAUUCACUUCUAAAUCCAUCUGGUCCUGAGGAUUUUUUCUUAGGGAGCUUAUUAAUAGCUUGUUCCAUUUCUUUUUCUGAGAUGCGGCUGUUUCACCAAUUUACUUCUUCCUUUGUUCUUCUGGGCAAGGUAUGUUUUUGAAGGUAUUCUUUCAUUUCAUUUAAGUUAUCGAAUUUAUUGGCAUAACAUUGGGCAAUGUGAUUCCUAAUUAUUGCCCUAAUUUCCUCUUCAUUAGUGGCGAGUUCUCCCUUUUCAUGUUUUAAGACUAACAAUUUGAUUUUUCUCUUUUCCUUUUUUCAUCAGAUUUACAAAGGGUUUCUCUAUUUUCCUGUUUUUUUCAUAGAACCAAUUCUUAGUUUUAUUAAUUAAUUCAAUAGGUUUUUUUUUUACUUUUAAUCUUAUUAAUCUCUCCUUUUAUUUUUAGAAUUUCAAGUUUAGUGUUUGACUGGAGGUUUUUAAUUUGUUCCUUUCCUAGCAUUUUUAGUUGCAAGCUCAAUUUAUUGACCUUCUUUUUCUCUUUUUUAUGCGAGUUGGCCUCUAGAGAUUUAAAAUUUCACCUUAUUACUGCUUUGGUUGCAUCCCACACAUUUUGGUAUGAUGUCUCAUUAUUGUCAUUUUCUUGGGUGAAGUUAUCAUGUGUAUGAUUUGCUGUUUCACCCAAUAAUUCUUUAACAUGCGAUUAUUUAGUUUCCCAUUAUUUUUGGUCAUUUUCCCCUGGCUUUUUAUUGAAUGUCAUUUUCAUUGCAUCGUGGUCUGAAAAGGAUGCAUUUACUAUUUCUGCCUUACAGCAUUUGAGUUUGAGGUUUUUAUGUCCUAAUAUAUGGUCAAUUUUUGUAGAGAUUCCAUGAAUUGCUGAGAAGAAAGUGUGCUCCUUUCUGUCUCCAUUCAGUUUUUUCCAAACAUCUAUCCUACCUAACUUUUCUAGUAUUCUAUUUACCUCUUUGACUUCUUUCUUAUUUUGUGGUUUGAUUUAUCUAAUUCUGAGAGUGCAAGGUUGAGGUCUCCCUGUAUGCCUGGCACAUAGUAGGUGUUUAAUGACAAAUGCUUCUUGAAUGGACUCAUGAUAUUCCUAAGUUUGGCACAGCACCUGGCACUUAGUAGGUGUUAAUGAUAAAUACUUCUUGACUGGACACAUGAUAUUCCCAAGCCUGGCAUGGCACCUGGGCACAUAAUAAGUGUUUAAUGAUAAAUGCUUCUUGAUGGAACACAUGAUAUCCCCAAGUUAAUAAAGUGCCUGGCACUUAGUGUUUAAUAACAAAUGUUUCUUGACUGAACACAUGAUAUCCCCAAGCUCAACACAGUGCCUGGCACUUAGUAGGCAUUUAAUGAUAAAUGCUUCUUGACUGGACACAUGAUAUUCCCUAGGCUAGCAUCGCACCUGACACUUUGUAGGUGCUUAAUAACAUCGUUCUUGAUGGACACAGGAUAUCCCCAAGCCUGGCACGGUGCCUGGCACAUCCGCAGGAGGCACUUAAUGCUGACCAGGUGACUGGCUCUGUCAUUUCUGCCAGAGUUUUGUCCAGGUGUGGACUGGACAGAAGAGCCUCGGAGCUAUCCUGGGAUUCUGAAAAGGCGGGAACAGGGCAGGGAGGGAGGGCAGCAAGGAGGGGGAGCAGAGGAGAGAAAGCAGGGCUUUCAUUCGACGCUACAAGCAGGGAAGGAGGAAGUGAUGAUGGGGAGGGAAGCUAGGGCCGGUUUGGGGGGAAGGUCUGGGCACCGGGAACCGGGGGCGAGCGGGGGUCUUUCACACCUGGUUCAGGCUGUGCAGCCACUGUGGGUUCCUCCCAACCCUGAUAUCCUGGGAUCAUGAGGGCUCCAAAAAGGGAGUGAAGGGGAGAAAAGUCAGGCAGCCCCAGAGGUCACACAGAGGGGAGAGUGGGAGCCAGAUGGAGGCCACUGCCUCCUGCUUGCCUGAGGC
Molecule: long non-coding RNA, 2977 nt
Organism: Sarcophilus harrisii (Tasmanian devil)
Lineage: Eukaryota; Metazoa; Chordata; Mammalia; Dasyuromorphia; Dasyuridae
Source: Ensembl